ACUGAACGCUGGCGGCAUGCCUUACACAUGCAAGUCGAACGGUAACAGGUCUUCGGAUGCUGACGAGUGGCGAACGGGUGCGUAAUACAUCGGAACGUGCCCGAUCGUGGGGGAUAACGAAGCGAAAGCUUUGCUAAUACCGCAUAAGAUCUACGGAUGAAAGCAGGGGACCGCAAGGCCUUGCGCGAACGGAGCGGCCGAUGGCAGAUUAGGUAGUUGGUGGGAUAAAAGCUUACCAAGCCGACGAUCUGUAGCUGGUCUGAGAGGACGACCAGCCACACUGGGACUGAGACACGGCCCAGACUCCUACGGGAGGCAGCAGUGGGGAAUUUUGGACAAUGGGCGAAAGCCUGAUCCAGCCAUGCCGCGUGCAGGAUGAAGGCCUUCGGGUUGUAAACUGCUUUUGUACGGAACGAAAAGACUCUGGUUAAUACCUGGGGUCCAUGACGGUACCGUAAGAAUAAGCACCGGCUAACUACGU
Molecule: ribosomal RNA, 481 nt
Filed under: uncultured bacterium
Lineage: Bacteria
Description: partial 16S ribosomal RNA
Rfam family: Bacterial small subunit ribosomal RNA
Source: RNAcentral